Long non-coding RNA from Anoplopoma fimbria (sablefish), 1068 nucleotides. RefSeq lists it as uncharacterized. The transcript is spliced from 5 exons. NCBI's taxonomy places the organism in Eukaryota, Metazoa, Chordata, Actinopteri, Perciformes, Anoplopomatidae. The record is from RefSeq and is a predicted model, not a curated record.
ACUCUGCUGCACUACUCACCUCAUUAUAAAUACCCCAGUCUCACACACACUCACUGCCAGAUCGUACUCCGCAUUAUGCCAGACCUUCCAGCGGUAUUCCCCGGACUGAUUUCCCGUUGCUGACACCGCUUGUUUGGACUUCUCUGCCUUGCCUCUGCCCAGGUAACUGACUCAGCCUUCUGUCCCCGACCACGAGAUUAACCUUUGCUCCUCUUGGUUUUUGUCUGCCUGCUCAGCUGAAGGAUCAGCGCUCUCUCGAGUGGAAUAUCCCCCGGAGCAAGUUUCUGUGAACAUGGUGACAAACAACAUGUUACUGAGCCUCCUCUUUGUUUCAGGUGCGUGGGCUAAUUGUUUAAAGCACCUAUACGUUACUGCACCACAGGAGAUGGAAGCACUGAGUGGAUCUUGUUUGCUAAUCCCAUGUAACUUCAGUGCUGAACCCGUCAAGGAAUUCCACAGCACAAGAACAACCUUCGGAGUGUGGAUUAAGAAAGACUCCAGGUUUCGCAUGGAGCCAAACAAUGUGAUUUUUCAACAGUAGUGGGGCAGUCACCACAUAUCCGAUGAGAUUUACUGGAAACCUGAGAGAAAAACUGCACCACUUUAUUUUCUAGUUUAUGCAAAAUGUACACAGAUGUAUAUUUCUUCAGAGUUGAGAACAAACCAUUCAUGGCAACAGCUUCUUGUGAUCGUCUUCAAAUAAGUUCGAGGUGGUUGAAGUCAAAACGUUCAACUUUACAACGGACACAGAGCCUAACAGCUGAGGAGCCAGCUGCUCAAGAGCGAGCCAGAGCGACAGAAGCAGGAGACAUCCAUUACGGAGAGAUUGACUUCUCCAAGUUGAGACCGGGAAAGUCCUCGACCUCGGUGCAUGACAGUGGACAGCAGCAGGACACACUGUAUGCACAGGUAAAAGUGUCCAAGACAGUAAAGAACUUAACGCAGACUGCUGACAGCCCAGAGGAUCUCUAUGCUCAAAUGUUGUGAAAAUUAGUGUAUGAACAUGAAUUUUAUGAAUAAAUAUUCUGUUAUUCUUACAAGAAAAUAUGUUCUUCCAUUCUUUGCAAU